Molecule: ribosomal RNA, 492 nt
Filed under: uncultured bacterium
Lineage: Bacteria
Description: partial 16S ribosomal RNA
Rfam family: Bacterial small subunit ribosomal RNA
Source: RNAcentral
AGUGAACGCUGGCGGUAGGCCUAACACAUGCAAGUCGAACGGCAGCACAGUAAGAGCUUGCUCUUACGGGUGGCGAGUGGCGGACGGGUGAGGAAUACAUCGGAAUCUACUUUUUCGUGGGGGAUAACGUAGGGAAACUUACGCUAAUACCGCAUACGACCUACGGGUGAAAGCAGUGGAUCUUCGGACCUUGCGCGAUUGAAUGAGCCGAUGUCGGAUUAGCUAGUUGGCGGGGUAAAGGCCCACCAAGGCGACGAUCCGUAGCUGGUCUGAGAGGAUGAUCAGCCACACUGGAACUGAGACACGGUCCAGACUCCUACGGGAGGCAGCAGUGGGGAAUAUUGGACAAUGGGCGCAAGCCUGAUCCAGCCAUACCGCGUGGGUGAAGAAGGCCUUCGGGUUGUAAAGCCCUUUUGCUGGGAAAGAAAAGCAGCAGGUUAAUACCCCGCUGUUCUGACGGUACCCAAAGAAUAAGCACCGGCUAACUUCGUG